RNAcentral lists this ribosomal RNA (497 nucleotides) under uncultured bacterium. Its description in RNAcentral is "partial 16S ribosomal RNA". It matches the Rfam family "Bacterial small subunit ribosomal RNA", at positions 28 to 507 of the family's 1533-position model. The record is from RNAcentral.
GAUGAACGCUGGCGGCGUGCCUAAUACAUGCAAGUCGAGCGAACGGACGAGAAGCUUGCUUCUCUGAUGUUAGCGGCGGACGGCUGAGUAACACGUGGAUAACCUACCUAUAAGACUGGGAUAACUUCGGGAAACCGGAGCUAAUACCGGAUAAUAUUUUGAACCGCAUGGUUCAAAAGUGAAAGACGGUCUUGCUGUCACUUAUAGAUGGAUCCGCGCUGCAUUAGCUAGUUGGUAAGGUAACGGCUUACCAAGGCAACGAUGCAUAGCCGACCUGAGAGGGUGAUCGGCCACACUGGAACUGAGACACGGUCCAGACUCCUACGGGAGGCAGCAGUAGGGAAUCUUCCGCAAUGGGCGAAAGCCUGACGUAGCAACGCCGCGUGAGUGAUGAAGGUCUUCGGAUCGUAAAACUCUGUUAUUAGGGAAGAACAUAUGUGUAAGUAACUGUGCACAUCUUGACGGUACCUAAUCAGAAAGCCACGGCUAACUACGUG